This 265-nucleotide ribosomal RNA is filed under the name uncultured bacterium. Its description in RNAcentral is "partial 16S ribosomal RNA". It matches the Rfam family "Bacterial small subunit ribosomal RNA", at positions 96 to 354 of the family's 1533-position model. The record is from RNAcentral.
UGGCGAACGGGUGAGUAACACGUGGGCAACCUGCCCAAAAGAGGGGGAGUAACACUUGGAAACAGGUGCUAAUACCGCAUAACCAUAGUUACCGCAUGGUAACUAUGUAAAAGGUGGCUAUGCUACCGCUUUUGGAUGGGCCCGCGGCGCAUUAGCUAGUUGGUGGGGUAAAGGCUUACCAAGGCAAUGAUGCGUAGCCGAACUGAGAGGUUGAUCGGCCACAUUGGGACUGAGACACGGCCCAAACUCCUACGGGAGGCAGCAG